This is a long non-coding RNA of Aethalodelphis obliquidens (Pacific white-sided dolphin), 816 nucleotides long. RefSeq lists it as uncharacterized. Lineage: Eukaryota; Metazoa; Chordata; Mammalia; Artiodactyla; Delphinidae. The transcript is spliced from 3 exons. The record is from RefSeq and is a predicted model, not a curated record.
GCCCUCAAAGAUGUACAGGUGCCAUAUAUCUACAUAAUAUUGCCUGAGAAAGGAACCUAGAAGUGGAGGAGGAAGAGGAAGAAAUGGCAGGUUCUCAGGUCUUGCUGUCUCUAAGCUGAACCUGGUCACCUUUUUUGAGCAAAGGAAAGAGCCCUGGGAUGUGAAGAAAAGGAGACAACAGUCAUACACCCAGGUUGGCAUAUCAGCGUUUCAAGGUUCUUUUGCCUGUGGGCGUGGUGGGAACAGGUGAAGGAGCUGUGCUGACGCCACAGAAGGUAUAUUCUCAAGAUGCUGACCUGAUUCCUCAACAUAAUACCGAUGAGAAAACAACCCAGAGCAGGAGGAAGAAGAGGAGAAGAUGGCAGCUCAGGUAAACGUCCUGUCCCGGGUCAGAGGCCGUGUCUGCUUUUUCUCCUGAAAUGUCAUGGAUUGAGAACCUGCAAACGUUUCAUUUUCUACUUCUGAUGUUCCUGCCUAGCAAGGUUGUUUUCAGCUACUUGUUUUUUCCUUCUUAUGAUAGUCAGCUCUUUACAAUACUUCUCUGUGUUCCAGAGCCUUUUCCCUAUUGUCUGCAUCCAGGCUCCCUACAGAGCAUGGAGAAUUCUCACCAUGAAUUAACGACCUUCAACUAUUGAAAUUAUUCCUUUUAUGAAAGAUCAACAUGGGAAGGCAUUAAUAUCCCAAACGCCCUCUGGGAUAAUUUCAGAUGUUGAGAUAUUAGUAAAGAAGGAGAAAGUGGAAUGAUUAAUGUACGUCUGAAUGCAACAUCAACUUAGCACCACAGGAUUAACGCACUUUUUUUUUUUUUUUUUGCGG